AACGCACCUUGCGCCCUUUGGUAUUCCGAAGGGCAUGCCUGUUUGAGUGUCAUUAAAUUCUCAACUUCAAAAUUCUUUUGUUUUGAAGCUUGGAUGUUGGAGGUAUUUGCAGGCAUGCAUUAGUGUCAGCUCCUCUUAAAUGCAUUAGCAGAACUUUGUACGUUCGGCUCUGGUUUGAUAAAUCCUAUCUAUGCCAUUGCUGAAAGGUCAAUAGAUCAGCUUCUAAUUGUCCAUGUAUUUGGACUGUCUCCUCGGAGGCAUCACCAUUGACUUGACCUCAAAUCAGGUAGGACUACCCGCUGAACUUAA
This 309-nucleotide unclassified non-coding RNA is filed under the name uncultured Clavulinopsis. RNAcentral describes it as "sequence contains ITS2". The stretch from base 1 to 52 matches the Rfam family "5.8S ribosomal RNA", at positions 103 to 154 of the family's 154-position model. Lineage: Eukaryota; Fungi; Basidiomycota; Agaricomycetes; Agaricales; Clavariaceae. The record is from RNAcentral.